GUGAGAAUGAUUAAUAACCAGAGUUUCUCUGGAAUCAACAUUCAUGGCAGAAGAUAAGUACUAAUCGGUAUAGUUGUUGCACAGGCUGCUAGUUGUGUGUAUUUUCAGAUAACGGGGUUAGGAUAUUCUCUUACAGAAUAUUGUUACACAUCUUAUGGAUUUAGAGAACUGGUAAUAUGUAGACCCUCUUAUACUGUGGGUUCUUGGUACUGGCUUAGAGCAUUUAGCUACUGUUUAUUGGGAAUACAUAGUGAAAGAUUAAAAUAGAAUAAAAUUAUCUGAUGCUGUGUUAAUUUUCAGAGUUGUUAAAAUUAUGUUAUGUGUAAAGGAAGGGAUAUUUCCUAUUCAUACAUUUAAUUAGAUAGAUGGUGGGUAGAUAGAUUAAAAAAAAAAGACUUCUAAAUGCUAAGAAUUCAUUUAAGCAGUGCAUGAGAUGCUCUUCAUUUAAUCCUUAGCACAGGUCUAAGAGUUAGGUACUGAUAUUAUUCUCAAGAACCUGGAUUUAGAAAAGAUGAUAACUUCCUUGCCCAAAGUCAUACAGAUAGUUAGUGAAAGACCUGCACUCUAAAUACGGGAUGUGUGCUUCCAAAUUUUAAGCUAAGUUUCUACAGUGUCCCACUGCUUUUGAGGGACUCAACACAUAAUUGACUCUCAUUCCCUUUCCUUCACGCUUGACCACCACGUCUGCUCACAGCAAGAGCAAAUGCCACCUGCUUUCUCCACAUGCAUUCAGAACAGCUCUGUUCACACCAGGGGCAUUCUUCCCAGCUGAAACUCUGGCCUGGAGUCUGUUCACACAGCCUGAGCUAAUAAAGAUCCAAGAAGCUCCUGGCUUCACUGAAAACAUCAGAGGCAAAAGAAUGCAGAAUAGGAGCAAUGGAUACUGUCCAGAGGAAAAUGGGCUCCUGUUCGAGCAGACCUUGUUUCACCUCUCAAGCAAGGGCAGAAUGUGGGAAUAUGAGGAGUCCCAAGCUGCCAUGGAAACAAAUGACCACAGGUUGUACCACAGCAUUAUUUCAUCUUUCCUAACCUCUCCCUUUAAAUUCUCAUAUUAUCUGCACUAGUAUAUUUAGUCAUUUAUUUUUUAACCCAAUCAUUGUUUCAGCAUGCAUCAUUUGUCAAAUGCUAUGUUUGGUGUUGGAGAGAUGAUAAAAGGAUAAGGCAACCCUGCUUACUACCUGCUAGAGUCUAUUUAUCUGGUGGGAAAGUCAGGUGUCUAAGCCUAGACUUGAAGGAAGAGUGGGAAUUCUCCAGUAAUUGGGAUGAGGAUGGAAAGAACUGUUUUCUGUAUGAAUAGGAAAUGUGGUGAGGCAGGAGGGUUGGAUUUGAGAGUGCAUAGGAUGAUUUCACAGAAUUCAGUCAUUCAGUGUGACUUGGAUAAGAUAUCACAGGUGGAGAGAUACACGGCUGAGUAUUAGGAGACGAAGCUGGCAGGAGGUGC
This 1441-nucleotide long non-coding RNA is filed under the name Homo sapiens (human). RNAcentral describes it as "HSALNT0154457". The record is from RNAcentral. Lineage: Eukaryota; Metazoa; Chordata; Mammalia; Primates; Hominidae.